UACGUAGGGUCCGAGCGUUGUCCGGAAUUACUGGGCGUAAAGAGCUCGUAGGUGGUUUGUCGCGUUGUUCGUGAAAACUCACAGCUCAACUGUGGGCGUGCGGGCGAUACGGGCAGACUUGAGUACUGCAGGGGAGACUGGAAUUCCUGGUGUAGCGGUGGAAUGCGCAGAUAUCAGGAGGAACACCGAUGGCGAAGGCAGGUCACUGGGCCGCAACUGACGCUGACACGCGAAAGCUAGGGGAGCGAACGGG
RNAcentral lists this ribosomal RNA (253 nucleotides) under uncultured bacterium. RNAcentral's name for it is "partial 16S ribosomal RNA". It matches the Rfam family "Bacterial small subunit ribosomal RNA", at positions 524 to 776 of the family's 1533-position model. The record is from RNAcentral.